CCGUGCAGCCGGGGCGUUAGCGGUGCCUUGUACCUGCAAUCCGCUAUAGCAGGGGUGAUAUCUUACGGAGGGCUUUGGCUUUUGCGGCUGCCCUUUAUAAGUGGCGUUGAAGUUUGGGUCUUACGCAAUGGAAAUCUGCGAACCGUGUCAGGUUGGGAACAAAGCAGCACUAAGCAGAACCUUUCAUGUGCCGUGAGGGUGCCUGGCGGAGUUAACUGUAAAGGUAACGCGCAGGGGUGUCGUUCGAAGUAAGAUGCACGG
RNAcentral lists this signal recognition particle RNA (261 nucleotides) under Lachnospiraceae bacterium. Its description in RNAcentral is "signal recognition particle sRNA large type". It matches the Rfam family "Bacterial large signal recognition particle RNA". From Rfam's summary of the family: The signal recognition particle (SRP) is a universally conserved ribonucleoprotein involved in the co-translational targeting of proteins to membranes. Lineage: Bacteria; Bacillati; Bacillota; Clostridia; Lachnospirales; Lachnospiraceae. The record is from RNAcentral.